UGGGGAAUAUUGCGCAAUGGACGAAAGUCUGACGCAGCAACGCCGCGUGAGUGAUGAAGGCCUUCGGGUUGUAAAGCUCUUUCGGCCGGGAAGAAGGGGCAUUGUUUUAAUAGAGCAGUGUUUUGAUGGUACCGGAAGAAGAAGCACCGGCUAACUUCGUGCCAGCAGCCGCGGUAAUACGAAGGGUGCGAGCGUUGUUCGGAAUUAUUGGGCGUAAAGGGUUCGUAGGCUGGAAUUUAAGUCAAGUGUGAAAUCCCCGAGCUUAACUUGGGACGUGCAUUUGAAACUGGGUUUCUUGAGUAUCGGAGAGGGUGGUGGAAUUGCUGGUGUAGGAGUGACAUCCGUAGAGAUCAGCAGGAACACCGGAGGCGAAAGCGACUGCCUGGACGAGAACUGACGCUGAGGAACGAAAGCGUGGGGAGCAAACAGG
Molecule: ribosomal RNA, 430 nt
Filed under: uncultured bacterium
Lineage: Bacteria
Description: bacterial SSU rRNA
Rfam family: Bacterial small subunit ribosomal RNA
Source: RNAcentral